Molecule: ribosomal RNA, 312 nt
Filed under: uncultured bacterium
Lineage: Bacteria
Description: bacterial SSU rRNA
Rfam family: Bacterial small subunit ribosomal RNA
Source: RNAcentral
GAACGCGAAUUGUCUUCGGACAUAGUAGAGUGGCGCACGGGUGAGUAACACGUGAGUAAUCUUCCCCUAGGCCUGGGAUAACAUUCCGAAAGGAGUGCUAAUACUGGAUAAGACCACAGCCUCUGCGGGGGCAGUGAGAAAAGACGGGGAUCCGAAAGGACCUGUCACCAAGGGAUGAGUUCGUGGCCUAUCAGCUUGUUGGUGAGGUAAUGGCUCACCAAGGCGAAGACGGGUAGCUGGUCUGAGAGGAUGAUCAGCCACACUGGAACUGAGACACGGUCCAGACUCCUACGGGAGGCAGCAGUGGGGAAU